Molecule: transfer RNA, 71 nt
Filed under: Sillago ingenuua (bay sillago)
Lineage: Eukaryota; Metazoa; Chordata; Actinopteri; Sillaginidae
Description: tRNA-Thr
Rfam family: tRNA
About the family: Transfer RNA (tRNA) molecules are approximately 80 nucleotides in length. Their secondary structure includes four short double-helical elements and three loops (D, anti-codon, and T loops).
Source: RNAcentral
GCACUAGUAGCUCAAAUAAGAGCGCCGGUCUUGUAAACCGGAGGCUGGGGGUUAGAGUCCCCCCUACUGCU